GCCUUUGUGGUGUAAUGAUCAGCACACUUGGCGUGUAUUUGAGAUAUCCAAGGUUCGAGUCCCGGCGAGGGCA
RNAcentral lists this transfer RNA (73 nucleotides) under Stegodyphus mimosarum. It matches the Rfam family "tRNA". From Rfam's summary of the family: Transfer RNA (tRNA) molecules are approximately 80 nucleotides in length. Their secondary structure includes four short double-helical elements and three loops (D, anti-codon, and T loops). Further hydrogen bonds mediate the characteristic L-shaped molecular structure. tRNAs have two regions of fundamental functional importance: the anti-codon, which is responsible for specific mRNA codon recognition, and the 3' end, to which the tRNAs corresponding amino acid is attached (by aminoacyl-tRNA synthetases). tRNAs cope with the degeneracy of the genetic code in two manners: having more than one tRNA (with a specific anti-codon) for a particular amino acid; and 'wobble' base-pairing, i.e. permitting non-standard base-pairing at the 3rd anti-codon position. The record is from Rfam by way of RNAcentral. Lineage: Eukaryota; Metazoa; Arthropoda; Arachnida; Araneae; Eresidae.